GAAUUUUGGACAAUGGGGGAAACCCUGAUCCAGCCAUGCCGCGUGGGUGAAGAAGGCCUUCGGGUUGUAAAGCCCUUUUGUUGGGAAAGAAAUCCAGCCGGCUAAUACCUGGUUGGGAUGACGGUACCCAAAGAAUAAGCACCGGCUAACUUCGUGCCAGCAGCCGCGGUAAUACGAAGGGUGCAAGCGUUACUCGGAAUUACUGGGCGUAAAGCGUGCGUAGGUGGUUGUUUAAGUCUGUUGUGAAAGCCCUGGGCUCAACCUGGGAACUGCAGCGGAAACUGGACAACUAGAGUGUGGUAGAGGGUAGCGGAAUUCCCGGUGUAGCAGUGAAAUGCGUAGAGAUCGGGAGGAACAUCCAUGGCGAAGGCAGCUACCUGGACCAACACUGACACUGAGGCACGAAAGCGUGGGGAGCAAACAGG
Molecule: ribosomal RNA, 425 nt
Filed under: uncultured bacterium
Lineage: Bacteria
Description: bacterial SSU rRNA
Rfam family: Bacterial small subunit ribosomal RNA
Source: RNAcentral